AUUUAAACAUGUUGGUUUCAAGGAGGUAGUUGGCUCUCUUGAAUUAGAGAUGUCUUCCAAUAAAUAUUAAGAUUUAAUCAUUCAAGGAGGUAGUUGGCUCUCUUAAAUUGGAGAUGCCGUCCAAUAAAUAUUGAGAUUUAAUGAAGUUAAAGCAGCUUCCGGUCAAGAAAAACUUUAACUUUUAGAGUUAUUGGUCUCGAGUGCACGUCGGGAUGUGAAUCUCACAUGGUGCUGCUCCUGCGUCUCUCUGUCCAACAUCUCCAAUUACCUCUCCAUUAGCAUGGCCGACCCUGAGGAUUUGUGAUGAAAACUUGGAAGCAUCAGGUGGAAACAAAUGGAUUCCACCAAUGGGUGGCACCCACGACGUUGAUGUUGCUUAAAGACUUUAUGUUUGUAAUCUGUAAAGAAUAUUCAUCUUUAACUCGUGGAUGGAUUUUUUAAGUCAAGAGUAUUAUGUUUUAGUCAUUACUAGCAAUUGAGCCCCGCACGAUACCGCGGGUUUUAUGAUCGUUUAAAAUGAUAUUAUUUUACAUA
Molecule: non-coding RNA, 534 nt
Organism: Malus domestica (apple)
Lineage: Eukaryota; Viridiplantae; Streptophyta; Magnoliopsida; Rosales; Rosaceae
Source: RefSeq, a predicted model, not a curated record